Carassius auratus (goldfish) is the source of this 935-nucleotide long non-coding RNA. RefSeq lists it as uncharacterized. The transcript is spliced from 3 exons. NCBI's taxonomy places the organism in Eukaryota, Metazoa, Chordata, Actinopteri, Cypriniformes, Cyprinidae. The record is from RefSeq and is a predicted model, not a curated record.
UAAUAAUAAAAUGGAGUCAGAUUUGAGUUUAACCUAAAAUUAAUACACUGUUAAAAAUUACCAGCAUUUCACAAUAAUUAACAGUAUUAUUUUACAGUAACUUGUUGUAAUUAAGUUUCCCUGUAAUAUCCCAAUGAAUACCUGUAAAAAACUACAGUAUCCUUGGAUUUUACAGCAUUUAACUCUUAUUUUACAGAAAAUCUUGCUAUCUAAAACCUACUGUUAUAUCAUAACAAGGUCUGUAAUAUCACAGCAACACAGUGUAAAAAAAUAAGUAUUUCACAGCAGUAAACAGUAUUAUUACAGUGAAAUAUUGUAUUAAAAUGUGCGCUGGGAAGUCCCUUGACAUAACCGAUCUGUUUUGAAUUGAAAGCGCUGUCGUCGUGUCUCUUCUAUUCCGGGCUGAAUGGAGAAGGUAUCCUAGUUACAACAUGACUGAGCUAACUGGAGAGCCAUCCAAAAUCAUUUGGCGACACUGGCAAGCAUGGUGAUACUGCUGGAGACGGAUGUCACUCUCUUCUGCAUCAUGUAAAAAUGAGAGUGGAGUAAAAAAAUAGGAAUAUGUCUCGAUGAAGAUGAGAUUUAAAGCAAUAUUAUAAUAGCCAAAUUCGCUGAAAUAUUGACCUGUAUGAACAAAGAGACAGCAAAGAACUAGGAAACACAAUGUAUAAGGUCCUAAGCAUAAGACCAAAACGUUAGAACUAGGUGGGAAAUAAGAUAAGAAUGGUGAAACUGUGGUAAACAAAUUCAUGGAAACAUAUUCUGGUUUCAAAGUGUAACGCUAUGAAAAACAUUGCGGUUUAUAUCUCACAACUCUAGAAAUUUAAGGUGUACUUCGCGUACUAUGCCUAUUUUCAUUUUUUAAUUUAGUGUCUUUCGAUGGAAUAUUUUAUGAGAGAUGAGAUCACUGAAUUCAAUGAUGAACUGCCUUUAAC